UUUCUCUGUCUCUGUCUCUCUCUUCUCUCUCA
RNAcentral lists this small RNA (32 nucleotides) under Arabidopsis thaliana (thale cress). RNAcentral describes it as "ATSL227050". The record is from RNAcentral. Lineage: Eukaryota; Viridiplantae; Streptophyta; Magnoliopsida; Brassicales; Brassicaceae.